RNAcentral lists this ribosomal RNA (244 nucleotides) under uncultured bacterium. RNAcentral describes it as "partial 16S ribosomal RNA". It matches the Rfam family "Bacterial small subunit ribosomal RNA", at positions 116 to 353 of the family's 1533-position model. The record is from RNAcentral.
CGUAGGUAACCUGCCCAUGUGCCCGGGAUAACUUCUGGAAACGGAUGCUAAAACCGGAUAGGUAGCAGACAAGCAUUUGACUGCUAUUAAAGUGGCUAAGGCCAUGAACAUGGAUGGACCUGCGGUGCAUUAGCUAGUUGGUGAGGUAACGGCCCACCAAGGCGACGAUGCAUAGCCGGCCUGAGAGGGCGGACGGCCACAUUGGGACUGAGACACGGCCCAAACUCCUACGGGAGGCAGCAUG